Molecule: non-coding RNA, 85 nt
Organism: Marasmius sp. AFHP31
Lineage: Eukaryota; Fungi; Basidiomycota; Agaricomycetes; Agaricales; Marasmiaceae
Source: the annotation of a GenBank genome assembly
GGUCUAAUAGUGUAGCGGUUAUCACAAUGGAUUCUGACUCCCAGUCUGAUUUCCAUUAACCCAGGUUCGAUUCCUGGUUAGACCU